UACGGAGGGGGCUAGCGUUGCUCGGAAUCACUGGGCGUAAAGGGCGCGUAGGCGGCCAUUCAAGUCGGGGGUGAAAGCCUGUGGCUCAACCACAGAAUUGCCUUCGAUACUGUUUGGCUUGAGUUUGGUAGAGGUUGGUGGAACUGCGAGUGUAGAGGUGAAAUUCGUAGAUAUUCGCAAGAACACCAGUGGCGAAGGCGGCCAACUGGACCAACACUGACGCUGAGGCGCGAAAGCGUGGGGGAGCAAACAGG
Molecule: ribosomal RNA, 254 nt
Filed under: uncultured bacterium
Lineage: Bacteria
Description: partial 16S ribosomal RNA
Rfam family: Bacterial small subunit ribosomal RNA
Source: RNAcentral